This 318-nucleotide ribosomal RNA is filed under the name uncultured eukaryote. Its description in RNAcentral is "partial 18S ribosomal RNA". It matches the Rfam family "Eukaryotic small subunit ribosomal RNA", at positions 1470 to 1796 of the family's 1831-position model. The record is from RNAcentral.
CCCUUAGACGUUCUGGGCCGCACGCGCGCUACACUGACCAGUGCAACAAGCAUCCGUCCUUGGCUCGAGAGGCCUGGGCAACCUUUGAACGCCAGUCGUGCUGGGGAUAGAUUCUUGCAAUUAUUAAUCUUCAACGAGGAAUUCCUAGUAAACGCAAGUCAUCAGCUUGCAUUGAUUACGUCCCUGCCCUUUGUACACACCGCCCGUCGCACCUACCGAUUGAAUGGUCCGGUGAAAUCCUCGGAUCGAGCCGUGGGGCAACUCCGGUUCGAGAAGUUGAUUAAACCUUACCAUUUAGAGGAAGGUGAAGUCGUAACA